RNAcentral lists this ribosomal RNA (253 nucleotides) under uncultured bacterium. RNAcentral's name for it is "partial 16S ribosomal RNA". It matches the Rfam family "Bacterial small subunit ribosomal RNA", at positions 524 to 776 of the family's 1533-position model. The record is from RNAcentral.
UACGUAGGGUGCAAGCGUUGUCCGGAAUUAUUGGGCGUAAAGAGCUCGUAGGCGGUCUGUCGCGUCUGCUGUGAAAACCUAGGGCUUAACUCUGGGCGUGCAGUGGGUACGGGCAGGCUAGAGUGCGGUAGGGGAGACUGGAAUUCCUGGUGUAGCGGUGAAAUGCGCAGAUAUCAGGAGGAACACCGAUGGCGAAGGCAGGUCUCUGGGCCGAUACUGACGCUGAGGAGCGAAAGCGUGGGGAGCGAACAGG